RNAcentral lists this ribosomal RNA (251 nucleotides) under uncultured prokaryote. RNAcentral's name for it is "partial 16S ribosomal RNA". It matches the Rfam family "Bacterial small subunit ribosomal RNA", at positions 524 to 774 of the family's 1533-position model. The record is from RNAcentral.
UACGGAGGAUGCGAGCGUUAUCCGGAUUUAUUGGGUUUAAAGGGUGCGUAGGCGGCCGAGUAAGUCAGCGGUGAAAUUUUGCAGCUUAACUGUAACAGUGCCGUUGAUACUGCAUGGCUAGGAUUUGGUUGCUGUGGGUGGAAUGUGUGGUGUAGCGGUGAAAUGUUUAGAUAUCACACAGAAUAUCAAUUGCGAAGGCAGCUCACAAAGCCAAGAUUGACGCUGAGGCACGAAAGUGUGGGGAUCAAACA